GCAGUCGAGCGAAUGGAUUAAGAGCUUGCUCUUAUGAAGUUAGCGGCGGACGGGUGAGUAACACGUGGGUAACCUGCCCAUAAGACUGGGAUAACUCCGGGAAACCGGGGCUAAUACCGGAUAACAUUUUGAACCGCAUGGUUCGAAAUUGAAAGGCGGCUUCGGCUGUCACUUAUGGAUGGACCCGCG
RNAcentral lists this ribosomal RNA (189 nucleotides) under Bacillus sp. (in: firmicutes). Its description in RNAcentral is "Bacillus sp. (in: Bacteria) partial 16S ribosomal RNA". It matches the Rfam family "Bacterial small subunit ribosomal RNA", at positions 60 to 235 of the family's 1533-position model. The record is from RNAcentral. Lineage: Bacteria; Bacillati; Bacillota; Bacilli; Caryophanales; Bacillaceae.